Priapulus caudatus is the source of this 269-nucleotide long non-coding RNA. RefSeq lists it as uncharacterized. Lineage: Eukaryota; Metazoa; Priapulida; Priapulimorpha; Priapulimorphida; Priapulidae. The record is from RefSeq and is a predicted model, not a curated record. The transcript has 3 exons.
CUGUUGUCAGGUUCGACUCGUACAGGGAAAGGAACCUGAGCAUUUUCUGCGCAUGUUCAAGGGUAAACUGGUUGUGUUUAUGGGUGGUCACGCCGACCACCAUGAAGAGCAUUCGAAGGGUGGCGACGCGACGAGACUCUUCCACAUCCGGGGCACCAACGAGUUUAACACAAGAGCAGUCGAGGUUGAUCCAGUCGCCACGAACCUCAACUCCAGUGAUGCAUUCAUUGCACACGAGGGCAAAGAUGUGUACCUGUGGCAAGGAAAGG